CCGGGAAUCUUCCACAAUGGACGAAAGUCUGAUGGGGCAACGCCGCGUGAGUGAAGAAGGGUUUCGGCUCGUAAAACUCUGUUGUUAAAGAAGAACAUAUCUGAGAGUAACUGUUCAGGUAUUGACGGUAUUUAACCAGAAAGCCACGGCUAACUACGCGCCAG
RNAcentral lists this ribosomal RNA (164 nucleotides) under uncultured bacterium. Its description in RNAcentral is "partial 16S rRNA". It matches the Rfam family "Bacterial small subunit ribosomal RNA", at positions 355 to 511 of the family's 1533-position model. The record is from RNAcentral.